GAUGAACGCUGGCGGCGUGCUUAACACAUGCAAGUCGAACGAGAAGUGGAGACGGAAACCUUCGGGCGGAAGACUUUACUUCGAGUGGCGGACGGGUGAGUAACGCGUGGGAAACCUGCCUCAUACAGGGGGAUAACAGUUGGAAACGACUGUUAAUACCGCAUAAGACCACAGCACCGCAUGGUGCGGGGGUAAAAACUCCGGUGGUAUGAGAUGGACCCGCGUUCGAUUAGCCAGUUGGCGGGGUAACGGCCCACCAAAGCGACGAUCGAUAGCCGAUCUGAGAGGAUGACCGGCCACAUUGGGACUGAGACACGGCCCAAACUCCUACGGGAGGCAGCAGUGGGGAAUAUUGCACAAUGGGGGAAACCCUGAUGCAGCGACGCCGCGUGAGUGAAGAAGUAUUUCGGUAUGUAAAGCUCUAUCAGCAGGGAAGAAAAUGACAGUACCUGAGUAAGAAGCCCCGGCUAACUACGUG
This 478-nucleotide ribosomal RNA is filed under the name uncultured bacterium. Its description in RNAcentral is "partial 16S ribosomal RNA". It matches the Rfam family "Bacterial small subunit ribosomal RNA", at positions 28 to 507 of the family's 1533-position model. The record is from RNAcentral.